RNAcentral lists this ribosomal RNA (468 nucleotides) under uncultured bacterium. Its description in RNAcentral is "partial 16S ribosomal RNA". It matches the Rfam family "Bacterial small subunit ribosomal RNA", at positions 28 to 507 of the family's 1533-position model. The record is from RNAcentral.
GACGAACGCUGGCGGCGUGCUUAACACAUGCAAGUCGAACGGAAAGGCCCUGCUUUUGUGGGGUGCUCGAGUGGCGAACGGGUGAGUAACACGUGAGUAAACUGCCCUUGACUUUGGGAGAACUUCAGGAAACUGGGGCUAAUACCGGAUAGGAGCUCCUGCUGCAUGGGGGGGGUUGGAAAGUUUCGGCGGUUGUGGAUGGAUUCGCGGGUUAUGAGCUUGAUGGGGGGGUAGUGGCUUACCAGGGUUUUGACGGGUAGCCGGCCUGGGAGGGUGGCCGGCCACCUUGGGACUGCGGUACGGCCCAGACGCCUACGGGCGGCAGCAGUGGGGAAUAUUGCGGAAUGGGGGGAAGCCUGAUGCAGCGGCCCCGCGUGCGGGAUGACGGCCUUCGGGUUGUAAACCAAUUUCGCAUGUGACGAAGCGUGAGUGACGGUAAUGGGUAAAGAAGCACCGGCUAACUACGUG